CUUGUUGGUGGGGUAAAGGCCUACCAAGGCUACGAUCUAUAGCUGAUUUGAGAGGAUGAUCAGCCACAUUGGGACUGAGACACGGCCCAAACUCCUACGGGAGGCAGCAGUGGGGAAUAUUGGACAAUGGGCGAAAGCCUGAUCCAGCAAUGCCAUGUGUGUGAAGAAGGCUCUAGGGUUGUAAAGCACUUUAGUUGGGGAGGAAAGCUUAUGAGUUAAUAGCUCAUGAGAAGGACGUUACCCAAAGAAUAAGGACCGGCUAACUCCGUGCCAGCAGCCGCGGUAAUACGGGGGGUCCGAGCGUUAAUCGGAAUUACUGGGCGUAAAGGGUCUGUAGGUGGUUUGUUAAGUCAGAUGUGAAAGCCCAGGGCUCAACCUUGGAACUGCAUUUGAUACUGGCAAACUAGAGUAUAGUAGAGGAAUGGGAAAUUUCUGGUGUAGCGGUGAAAUGCGUAGAGAUCAGAAGGAACACCAAUGGCGAAGGCAACAUUCUGGACUAAUACUGACACUGAGGGACGAAAGCGUGGGGAUCAAACAGGAUUAGAUACCCUGGUAGUCCACGCUGUAAACGAUGAGUACUAGCUGUUGGAGUCGGUGUAAAGGCUCUAGUGGCGUAGCUAACGCGUUAAGUACUCCGCCUGGGGACUACGGCCGCAAGGCUAAAACUCAAAGGAAUUGACGGGGACCCGCACAAGCGGUGGAGCAUGUGGUUUAAUUCGAUGCAACGCGAAGAACCUUACCUGGUCUUGACAUCCUGCGAACUUUCUAGAGAUAGAUUGGUGCCUUCGGGAACGCAGUGACAGGUGCUGCACGGCUGUCGUCAGCUCGUGUUGUGAAAUGUUGGGUUAAGUCCCGCAACGAGCGCAACCCCUAUUGAUAGUUACCAUCAUUAAGUUGGGUACUCUAUUGAGACUGCCGCUGACAAGGCGGAGGAAGGUGGGGACGACGUCAAGUCAUCAUGGCCCUUACGACCAGGGCUACACACGUGCUACAAU
RNAcentral lists this ribosomal RNA (995 nucleotides) under uncultured Francisella sp. Its description in RNAcentral is "bacterial SSU rRNA". It matches the Rfam family "Bacterial small subunit ribosomal RNA", at positions 245 to 1231 of the family's 1533-position model. The record is from RNAcentral. Lineage: Bacteria; Pseudomonadati; Pseudomonadota; Gammaproteobacteria; Thiotrichales; Francisellaceae.